GGAUGUGACUCCAAACCACAGCUUGGUGAGAACAACCAGACACAGACAGGUCUCUCAGCAUGUUGCAAGCAUACUUACAUUCUACAACAUCCCUGAGAGGGAUCUCUGUUUAGGCAAGUGCUUCUGGUUUAUUAAAAGUGGAUGGUAAAAGGGGAAGAAAGCUGGAGUGUUUGGAUCUGUUUGCUGAAUGAAGUAUGGGAGCCUGUGCUAUGGAGCAUUCUGGAAGUCAUCUAAUCUUGCUUUCGACACUUCACAGGGUAAGAGUGACCAGUCAAAAGCCAUUUCUGGUGCCUUGGAUACUGUUUGUGGGAUCAAAAGGCCACUGCUGGUUGUGAAAUUCUGAAGACUGAGAUGUGGCUGCGUAUUUCAGAACAUGAGCUUAUGCUUCACUAAAACUUCACCUUGGAAGAAAAACAGAUGACUAUUAAGAAAAGUGACCUAGAUUAUUCUAAAUUAUUAAUAUUUUUAAUUCAUACAAAAAUAAGUGCUAACAUGCUCCUGAUCUAAGUUCCCUGAUUUAACAUGACAAUACUAAUUUAAUAAGUGGGCUGCACUGUAAAAAUAAGAUGCAAGCAUAGAAACCUCUGGUUAUCUCUUUUUGCUCUCACUUUAAAAAUACAUAUCAAUUACAUAUUUUCAAUGCUUUUUCCCCUUCAUUGUGAGAGAGGACUCAUCAGUGAAACUGAGAGCACAGCUUGGACUUAGAUAUUGAUUUCACAGAGGUAUCUUUGCUGAUUUUCUUUAUAGCAUUUUCAUUUGGUAUCAAAAUGAU
This is a long non-coding RNA of Pezoporus occidentalis (night parrot), 772 nucleotides long. RefSeq lists it as uncharacterized. The transcript is spliced from 3 exons. NCBI's taxonomy places the organism in Eukaryota, Metazoa, Chordata, Aves, Psittaciformes, Psittacidae. The record is from RefSeq and is a predicted model, not a curated record.